This 890-nucleotide ribosomal RNA is filed under the name uncultured bacterium. RNAcentral's name for it is "bacterial SSU rRNA". It matches the Rfam family "Bacterial small subunit ribosomal RNA", at positions 8 to 853 of the family's 1533-position model. The record is from RNAcentral.
AGAGUUUGAUCAUGGCUCAGGAUGAACGCCGGCGGUGUGCCUAAUACAUGCAAGUCGUACGCACUGGCCCAACUGAUUGAUGGUGCUUGCACCUGAUUGACGAUGGAUCACCAGUGAGUGGCGGACGGGUGAGUAACACGUAGGUAACCUGCCCCGGAGCGGGGGAUAACAUUUGGAAACAGAUGCUAAUACCGCAUAACAACAAAAGCCACAUGGCUUUUGUUUGAAAGAUGGCUUUGGCUAUCACUCUGGGAUGGACCUGCGGUGCAUUAGCUAGUUGGUAAGGUAACGGCUUACCAAGGCGAUGAUGCAUAGCCGAGUUGAGAGACUGAUCGGCCACAAUGGAACUGAGACACGGUCCAUACUCCUACGGGAGGCAGCAGUAGGGAAUCUUCCACAAUGGGCGCAAGCCUGAUGGAGCAACACCGCGUGAGUGAAGAAGGGUUUCGGCUCGUAAAGCUCUGUUGUUGGAGAAGAACGUGCGUGAGAGUAACUGUUCACGCAGUGACGGUAUCCAACCAGAAAGUCACGGCUAACUACGUGCCAGCAGCCGCGGUAAUACGUAGGUGGCAAGCGUUAUCCGGAUUUAUUGGGCGUAAAGCGAGCGCAGGCGGUUGCUUAGGUCUGAUGUGAAAGCCUUCGGCUUAACCGAAGAAGUGCAUCGGAAACCGGGCAACUUGAGUGCAGAAGAGGACAGUGGAACUCCAUGUGUAGCGGUGGAAUGCGUAGAUAUAUGGAAGAACACCAGUGGCGAAGGCGGCUGUCUGGUCUGCAACUGACGCUGAGGCUCGAAAGCAUGGGUAGCGAACAGGAUUAGAUACCCUGGUAGUCCAUGCCGUAAACGAUGAGUGCUAGGUGUUGGAGGGUUUCCGCCCUUCAGUGCCGGAGCU